GCGAAGAACUGGAAUAGAGCUCGCCUCGGCUCUGCUGGCCUUGGCUGAAGCUCUUCCAGAGACCCGGGGCGGCCACGGGAGAAUGCCUUACCUGAGUCAAGGAGCAUGGAUUCCAGGAACCCACUAGCAUACAGAACAACUUCUUGUGGACCCCCCUGGGAUCAGGACAUCGAGGGACAAGCAACAAAGAGGAUCAUCAGUGUCCAGCUAGUCUCUCUCUGGGGUUCAAACCUUGAAUCAAUGCCCUAGUGAGGGGGCACUGGCCAUGACCCCUCAACCUUUGCUCUGCUUGUAUCUUGAGUCUGAGUCCUUCCCUGUACAUCUGUGCUCGUGUUCAUCAGCUAGUGAACUGAAGUGCUUCCCUCCCCGAGGGGGGUCGUCCCUUGUGACUGACCAUGUUGUCCUAACAAUGUCCUGAGCAGAAGGGUCCCCAAUGGGAACCUCUCAGGAGGGGGGUUUGGGGCGGCGGGGGGGGGACCAGCAUCUUGCUGGCAACUGUGGGUG
Molecule: long non-coding RNA, 504 nt
Filed under: Rattus norvegicus (Norway rat)
Lineage: Eukaryota; Metazoa; Chordata; Mammalia; Rodentia; Muridae
Description: long non-coding RNA NONRATT024618
Source: RNAcentral